GAUGUCAAUUUUAAGAUGGGUUUGUUUUGAUUUUAUUUCGCAAAUUUGAGAUCACUGAACCGAACUUCAUUUUGCUUGGUGACUUUGCUGAAAUUUAAAAAGUGACAGUUCUAGGGACUUAGCGUUUUCAAAGCGGGUGUUCUGCAUCAUUCAUGGCGCACCGAGUUGAUUAACACUCUAGAGAAACCGGAAGCCAAGAAGCAGCAAAAGUUGUUUCUACAGGGCGUUGCCAUCCAAGACUCUUGAUACUCAUCGAUGACCCUCCUGGAAGACGACCGUCCCGCCGGAACCACCACCCAUCGAAAUGUCCGCCGGUGGAAGGACCGCCGGAAGCAGUUGAAAGCGACCGCUGACGGCAUCGCCGGUGGCGGCUAAC
Long non-coding RNA from Culex quinquefasciatus (southern house mosquito), 376 nucleotides. RefSeq lists it as uncharacterized. Lineage: Eukaryota; Metazoa; Arthropoda; Insecta; Diptera; Culicidae. The record is from RefSeq and is a predicted model, not a curated record. The transcript is spliced from 3 exons.